Molecule: ribosomal RNA, 1351 nt
Filed under: Escherichia coli
Lineage: Bacteria; Pseudomonadati; Pseudomonadota; Gammaproteobacteria; Enterobacterales; Enterobacteriaceae
Description: partial 23S ribosomal RNA
Rfam family: Bacterial large subunit ribosomal RNA
Source: RNAcentral
GGGGGACGGAGAAGGCUAUGUUGGCCGGGCGACGGUUGUCCCGGUUUAAGCGUGUAGGCUGGUUUUCCAGGCAAAUCCGGAAAAUCAAGGCUGAGGCGUGAUGACGAGGCACUACGGUGCUGAAGCAACAAAUGCCCUGCUUCCAGGAAAAGCCUCUAAGCAUCAGGUAACAUCAAAUCGUACCCCAAACCGACACAGGUGGUCAGGUAGAGAAUACCAAGGCGCUUGAGAGAACUCGGGUGAAGGAACUAGGCAAAAUGGUGCCGUAACUUCGGGAGAAGGCACGCUGAUAUGUAGGUGAAGUCCCUCGCGGAUGGAGCUGAAAUCAGUCGAAGAUACCAGCUGGCUGCAACUGUUUAUUAAAAACACAGCACUGUGCAAACACGAAAGUGGACGUAUACGGUGUGACGCCUGCCCGGUGCCGGAAGGUUAAUUGAUGGGGUCAGCGCAAGCGAAGCUCUUGAUCGAAGCCCCGGUAAACGGCGGCCGUAACUAUAACGGUCCUAAGGUAGCGAAAUUCCUUGUCGGGUAAGUUCCGACCUGCACGAAUGGCGUAAUGAUGGCCAGGCUGUCUCCACCCGAGACUCAGUGAAAUUGAACUCGCUGUGAAGAUGCAGUGUACCCGCGGCAAGACGGAAAGACCCCGUGAACCUUUACUAUAGCUUGACACUGAACAUUGAGCCUUGAUGUGUAGGAUAGGUGGGAGGCUUUGAAGUGUGGACGCCAGUCUGCAUGGAGCCGGCCUUGAAAUACCACCCUUUAAUGUUUGAUGUUCUAACGUGGACCCGUGAUCCGGGUUGCGGACAGUGUCUGGUGGGUAGUUUGACUGGGGCGGUCUCCUCCUAAAGAGUAACGGAGGAGCACGAAGGUUGGCUAAUCCUGGUCGGACAUCAGGAGGUUAGUGCAAUGGCAUAAGCCAGCUUGACUGCGAGCGUGACGGCGCGAGCAGGUGCGAAAGCAGGUCAUAGUGAUCCGGUGGUUCUGAAUGGAAGGGCCAUCGCUCAACGGAUAAAAGGUACUCCGGGGAUAACAGGCUGAUACCGCCCAAGAGUUCAUAUCGACGGCGGUGUUUGGCACCUCGAUGUCGGCUCAUCACAUCCUGGGGCUGAAGUAGGUCCCAAGGGUAUGGCUGUUCGCCAUUUAAAGUGGUACGCGAGCUGGGUUUAGAACGUCGUGAGACAGUUCGGUCCCUAUCUGCCGUGGGCGCUGGAGAACUGAGGGGGGCUGCUCCUAGUACGAGAGGACCGGAGUGGACGCAUCACUGGUGUUCGGGUUGUCAUGCCAAUGGCACUGCCCGGUAGCUAAAUGCGGAAGAGAUAAGUGCUGAAAGCAUCUAAGCACGAAACUUGCC